GAUGUACUUCCUUCGUCCUAAAAUUCUUGUUUUAGAUUUGCCUAGAUAUGAAUGUGUCUAGUCACGUUUUAGUAUUUAGAUNNNNNCAUUUCUAAACAAACCUAAGACAAUAAUUUUAGGACGGAGGGAGUACUAU
Molecule: non-coding RNA, 136 nt
Organism: Hordeum vulgare subsp. vulgare (domesticated barley)
Lineage: Eukaryota; Viridiplantae; Streptophyta; Magnoliopsida; Poales; Poaceae
Source: Rfam